Molecule: ribosomal RNA, 425 nt
Filed under: uncultured bacterium
Lineage: Bacteria
Description: partial 16S ribosomal RNA
Rfam family: Bacterial small subunit ribosomal RNA
Source: RNAcentral
UGGGGAAUUUUGGACAAUGGGCGAAAGCCUGAUCCAGCAAUGCCGCGUGUGUGAAGAAGGCCUUCGGGUUGUAAAGCACUUUUGUCCGGAAAGAAAUCCUUGGCUCUAAUACAGUCGGGGGAUGACGGUACCGGAAGAAUAAGCACCGGCUAACUACGCGCCAGCAGCCGCGGUAAUACGUAGGGUGCAAGCGUUAAUCGGAAUUACUGGGCGUAAAGCGUGCGCAGGCGGUUUGCUAAGACCGAUGUGAAAUCCCCGGGCGUCAACCUGGAACUGCAUUGGUGACUGGCAGGCUAGAGUAUGGCAGAGGGGGUGAGAAUUCCACGUGUAGCAGUGAAAUGCGUAGAGAUGUGGAGGAAUACCGAUGGCGAAGGCAGCCCCUGGCAAGUCACUGACGCUCAUGCACGAAAGCGUGGGGAGCAAAC